GACUGUUGAGGUAGAACAGGUAGCUACACGCUUGAAUAUGUAUUGAACAGUUCGAGUCUUAAAAAAAGCUUAAUUGCUAAGAGAUGCGGGAUUACCACCCCACCAACAGUC
This 111-nucleotide non-coding RNA is filed under the name Bacillus thuringiensis Bt407. Its description in RNAcentral is "skipping-rope RNA". It matches the Rfam family "skipping-rope RNA". Rfam says of the family: Firmicutes, Fusobacteria, AlphaProteobacteria, Spirochaetes. Downstream gene The record is from Rfam by way of RNAcentral. Lineage: Bacteria; Bacillati; Bacillota; Bacilli; Caryophanales; Bacillaceae.